RNAcentral lists this long non-coding RNA (852 nucleotides) under Cicer arietinum (chickpea). RNAcentral's name for it is "long non-coding RNA (CARI_LNC003647)". The record is from RNAcentral. Lineage: Eukaryota; Viridiplantae; Streptophyta; Magnoliopsida; Fabales; Fabaceae.
UGCUUUUCAUAUAUAGUUAGAUGUAUGAUAAUGAAGUGAACCGCUUCAUAAAGGUCAAGAGCUUAACUCUUGAAUUCUCGUUAAAAAGAUAUGAGACACACAACCUUAUCAAAUGUGUCAUAUUUUUAUUAGAUCAAUGAGACCGAUAUUUCAUGUGUAUAUUUAUGCACACUUGUUGUAAUGAAUAGUUUGUUCAAAGUUUGUCUACUAAUGGUUUAAAUUGUAAGAUACUUUUGUAACAGCCCCUCUCUCACUACCUUAGAAAUAUUACAAGAUUAAGAUAGUAAUUAGAUUAUUAGAAUUUUCGUUAAGCAUUAUACAUUAUUUUGCAACUCCCUUCAAAAUCUGAAAAACCACUCUCCCUUUUUCUCUCUCUCUCUCGAUCAUGCCGAGAGAUUCAAACUCUUCCACCGCCUCUCUCCGGCAGCCAACCGAACCAAAACCUCAAUCAUCACCCAAUCCCUAACCGACCUAGGGUUGCAUCUUCAGCUCACCCUUUCAACCUCUCCACUGCAAUCCACCAAUCAGGUUGUCAUCAACCUCUUUCAGGUAAACAAAUUUCCUUUUCCAAUUAUUUCCUCACUGCUAACUCUUCCACCACCUUCGAUUUCCCAUUUGCAAUCCCCUGCAUUAGCUAUUUAUUUUUUACGUGUGUUUUGAUCCUUUUAAUGUAACUCACUCUCACUCGUUCUCCACCGCCGCAACACCGUAUCUGAGUCUAUCGCCUCCGCAUCAGCAUUUCCAUAGCCUCAUUCACUCUCGCAAUCUUCCUCACAUCGCACUAAGAAGUCGCUACAUGUACGUUUUUCCUUCUGUGUUCAGUUUCUAACAGUUUGUUCUAGGGUUUCUAUU